Molecule: small nuclear RNA, 92 nt
Filed under: Chelonoidis abingdonii (Abingdon island giant tortoise)
Lineage: Eukaryota; Metazoa; Chordata; Testudines; Testudinidae
Description: U5 spliceosomal RNA (ENSCABG00000015404.1)
Rfam family: U5 spliceosomal RNA
About the family: U5 RNA is a component of both types of known spliceosome.
Source: RNAcentral
AUACUCUGGUUUCUCUUCAGAUCAUAUGGAUCAUUUGCCUUUUACUAAAGAUUUCUGUGAAAAGGAAUAUAUAUGAGUUUCUACCCAGAUCC